UACGUAGGGUCCGAGCGUUGUCCGGAAUUAUUGGGCGUAAAGAGCUCGUAGGCGGUUUGUCGCGUCGGCUGUGAAAACCUGGGGCUCAACCUCGGGCCUGCAGUGGGUACGGGCAGACUAGAGUGCGGUAGGGGAGAUUGGAAUUCCUGGUGUAGCGGUGGAAUGCGCAGAUAUCAGGAGGAACACCAAUGGCGAAGGCAGAUCUCUGGGCCGUAACUGACGCUGAGGAGCGAAAGCAUGGGGAGCGAACAGG
Molecule: ribosomal RNA, 253 nt
Filed under: uncultured bacterium
Lineage: Bacteria
Description: partial 16S ribosomal RNA
Rfam family: Bacterial small subunit ribosomal RNA
Source: RNAcentral